This 301-nucleotide ribosomal RNA is filed under the name uncultured bacterium. Its description in RNAcentral is "partial 16S ribosomal RNA". It matches the Rfam family "Bacterial small subunit ribosomal RNA", at positions 509 to 807 of the family's 1533-position model. The record is from RNAcentral.
CAGUAGCCGCGGGAAUACGAAGGGGGCUAGCGUUGCUCGGAAUUACUGGGCGUAAAGGGCGCGUAGGCGGAUGUUUAAGUCAGAGGUGAAAGCCCAGGGCUCAACCUUGGAACUGCCUUUGAUACUGGACAUCUUGAGUGUGGGAGAGGUGAGUGGAACUCCGAGUGUAGAGGUGAAAUUCGUAGAUAUUCGGAAGAACACCAGUGGCGAAGGCGACUCACUGGCCCAUUACUGACGCUGAGGCGCGAAAGCGUGGGGAGCAAACAGGAUUAGAUACCCGUGUAGUCCCUGUCUCUUAUAC